AGGUGCUGCAUGGCUGUCGUCAGCUCGUGUCGUGAGGUGUUGGGUUAAGUCCCGCAACGAGCGCAACCCCUAUUCUUAGUUGCCAUCAGGUUAUGCUGGGGACUCUAAGAAGACUGCCCGCGCAAGCGGUGAGGAAGGUGGGGAUGACGUCAAGUCAUCACGGCCCUUACGUCCAGGGCUACACACGUGCUACAAUGGCCGGUACAAUGGGCAGCCACAUGGCAACAUGGAGCUAAUCUUUAAAACCGGUCUCAGUUCGGAUUGAGGUCUGCAACUCGACCUCAUGAAGCUGGAUUCGCUAGUAAUCGCAAAUCAGCAAUGUUGCGGUGAAUACGUUCCCGGGCCUUGUACACACCGCCCGUCAAGGCCAUGGAAGUCGGGAGUACCUAAAGUCCAUAACCGCAAGGAGUGCCUAGG
RNAcentral lists this ribosomal RNA (417 nucleotides) under uncultured bacterium. Its description in RNAcentral is "bacterial SSU rRNA". It matches the Rfam family "Bacterial small subunit ribosomal RNA", at positions 1036 to 1461 of the family's 1533-position model. The record is from RNAcentral.